GAUUGGUCACUGGCGCACGGGUGCGUAACGCGUAAGUUAUCUGCCCUUGGGUCUGGCAUAACGUCGGGAAACCGGCGCUAAUUCCAGAUGAUAUCGUAAGAUCAAAGCCUUCGGGCGCCCAAGGAUGAGCUUGCGUCUGAUUAGCUUGUUGGCGGGGUAAUGGCCCACCAAGGCAACGAUCAGUAGCCGGUCUGAGAGGAUGAUCGGCCACAUUGGGACUGAGACACGGCCCAGACUCCUACGGGAGGCAGCAGUAAGGAAUAUUGCGCAAUGGACGAAAGUCUGACGCAGCAACGCCGCGUGCAGGAUGAAGGCCCUUUGGGUUGUAAACUGCUGUAGAAAGGGAAUAAUAGUUUGCCACGGGUGAACUUGAAGGUACCUUUAAAGUAAGCGCCGGCUAACUACGUGCCAGCAGCCGCGGUAAUACGUAGGGCGCAAGCGUUGUCCGGAUUCACUGGGUGUAAAGGGUGCGCAGGCGGAUUGGCAAGUCAGAGGUGAAAUCUCACGGCUCAACCGUGAAACUGCCUUUGAUACUGCUUAUCUUGAGUUCGGGAGAGGUUGAUGGAAUUCCAGGUGUAGCGGUGAAAUGCGUAGAUAUCUGGAAGAACACCAGUGGCGAAGGCGGUCAACUGGCCCGCAACUGACGCUCAUGCACGAAAGCGUGGGGAUCAAACAGGAUUAGAUACCCUGGUAGUCCACGCCCUAAACGAUGUAUGCUUGGUGUUGGCUCUUUAGAGUCAGUGCCGUAGGUAACCUGUUAAGCAUACCACCUGGGGAGUACGCUCGCAAGGGUGAAACUC
RNAcentral lists this ribosomal RNA (800 nucleotides) under uncultured Chlorobiota bacterium. RNAcentral's name for it is "bacterial SSU rRNA". It matches the Rfam family "Bacterial small subunit ribosomal RNA", at positions 86 to 902 of the family's 1533-position model. Lineage: Bacteria; Pseudomonadati; Chlorobiota. The record is from RNAcentral.